RNAcentral lists this long non-coding RNA (993 nucleotides) under Homo sapiens (human). Its description in RNAcentral is "HSALNT0121936". Lineage: Eukaryota; Metazoa; Chordata; Mammalia; Primates; Hominidae. The record is from RNAcentral.
CCUGCCUCAACCUCCCCAGUAGCUGGGAUUACCGGCACUCGCCACCAAGCCUAGCUAAUUUUUUUGUAUUUUGACUAGAGAUGGGGUUUCACCAUGUUAGUCAAGCUGCUCUUGUUUUUUUUUGUUGUUGUUGUUGUUGUUGUUUGAUACCAAGUCUCGCUCUAUCAUCCAGGCUGGAGUGCAGUGGUGCAAUCUCGGCUCACUGCAAUCUCUGUUUCCCAGGCUCAAGUGAUUCUCCUGCCUCAGCCUCCCAAGUACUACAGGCGCAAGCCACUGCACCCAGCUAAGUUUUGUAUUUUCAGUAAAGACGGGGUUUUACCAUGUUGGCCAGGCUGGUCUUGAACUCCCGACCUCGUGAUCUGCCCUCCUCGGCCUCCCAAAGUGCUGGGAUUACAGGUGUGAGCCACCACGCCCGGCCUAGAAUUCCAUUUCUAACGUGGUUUAACCCAGCACUUCCCAAACUCUUUUGACAGGGAACCCUUCUCUUCCCCAAGGAGCUUCUUACAGAACAGGUGUUCUCAGGAACACAUUCGAGGAGCCCCCUGCUAAUGAGAGCCAGAGAGCCCCUGGGUUCGCACACUCCAAUGCUGGCCAUCUGAAUCCGGAGCUGUGGGUGGGAGGGGACCCUGAGCCUUGGGCACUAGAGGGAUGGCAUAGAGGAGCUUCUAGAAGGACGCCAUACUGUGUAGUACUCUAGGUUCUAGCACCUGUGGUUCUUGAGCACUUGAAAUGUGGCUUGAGUUGCUGAGGGGUUUUUUUUGUUUAAUUUUUUAAAACAGGGUCUUGCUCUGUUGCCCAGGCUGGAGUGUAGUGGCACGAUCAUAGCUCACUGCAGCCUCCAACUCCUGGGCUCAAGCAAUCCUCCUGCCUCAGCCUCUGAGUAGGCUGGCACUACCGGCAUGCAUCACCACACCUGGCUCAUUUAAAAAAAAUUUUUUUAGAGGUGGGAUCUUGCUAUGUUGUUCAGGCUGGUCUUGAAUUCCCAGGCUCAAG